GAGAUCAUUAAGAAAUUGAGUUGUUCUGAUGGUUCCAACCACACAAGCAAGUCACGAUGAACCAGCAUAUAUGGCCAUCUGUUUUCAACAUGAAAUAUUGGGUUCAAAGGCCAAGUGUUUACACAUAUAUCAACUGGCUUAGGAGGGUUGAUGGCCAUUCUCAAGAAUCAGAAAGAAAGAGCUAAUCGUUGAAUCUUUUACACUAUUAAUGACAAUUCUUCAAACUCAAAUUUUCAACUACAUGUGUGUGGAAGUGGAAUUGAUGUUCCAAGUGACUCCAGCAUUUCCAUACUGUCCACCAGCGCUUCUGGCUCUAGCAUAAUGGUGUCUUCAUUUUAGUGUCUUUAUGUUAGUAGUAUUUUAGAUGUUACAACUUGGACAAUGCAAUUGUUCAUGUUGUACUUAUUUUUACAUUUGCCGUGAGAUUAUGUUGCUAACUUCUAUUACCAAUUCCGUGGUUGUUUCGUGGGGACAGCUUCUUGGAGGUUUUCCACCCAUCUCUAGCAACGUACGGAAUGCUUCUGUUGGUUUUGUAGGUAAUGCGUUAGCAUUUUUUCGG
Molecule: long non-coding RNA, 559 nt
Organism: Daucus carota subsp. sativus
Lineage: Eukaryota; Viridiplantae; Streptophyta; Magnoliopsida; Apiales; Apiaceae
Exons: 2
Source: RefSeq, a predicted model, not a curated record